AUUGAACGCUGGCGGCAUGCCUUCACAUGCAAGUCGAACGGUAACAGGUCUUCGGACGCUGACGAGUGGCGAACGGGUGAGUAAUACAUCGGAACGUGCCCAGUCGUGGGGGAUAACUACUCGAAAGAGUAGCUAAUACCGCAUACGAUCUGAGGAUGAAAGCGGGGGACCUUCGGGCCUCGCGCGAAUGGAGCGGCCGAUGGAAGAGUGGGUAGUUGGUGGAAUAAAAGCAUACCAAGCCGACUGUCUGUAGCUGGUAUGAGAGGACGACCAGCCACACUGGGACUGAGACACGGCCCAGACUCCUACGGGAGGCAGCAGUGGGGAAUUUUGGACAAUGGGCGAAAGCCUGAUCCAGCAAUGCCGCGUGCAGGAUGAAGGCCUUCGGGUUGUAAACUGCUUUUGUACGGAACGAAAAAGCUCCUUCUAAUACAGGGGGCCCAUGACGGUACCGUAAGAAUAAGCACCGGCUAACUACGUGCCAGCAGCCGCCGUAA
This 497-nucleotide ribosomal RNA is filed under the name uncultured bacterium. RNAcentral describes it as "partial 16S ribosomal RNA". It matches the Rfam family "Bacterial small subunit ribosomal RNA", at positions 30 to 523 of the family's 1533-position model. The record is from RNAcentral.